Tachyglossus aculeatus (Australian echidna) is the source of this 388-nucleotide long non-coding RNA. RefSeq lists it as uncharacterized. The record is from RefSeq and is a predicted model, not a curated record. The transcript is spliced from 2 exons. NCBI's taxonomy places the organism in Eukaryota, Metazoa, Chordata, Mammalia, Monotremata, Tachyglossidae.
CAUCCCUCCCUCUGACCACUGGGCCGCCAAUGCCUGGAGCAUCCGGCUGGCCCUCGGACAUCCCCCUCAACCACCAGCACUGAAACGGACAAAAGAAACUUUGCCUUAGACCGCAAGCUCCACAUGGACCAGGGACGGUGUCAGAGCGGAUUGUCUUGUUUCUACGCCGGUGCUUGGGCCACAGUAAGCGAUCUGGAACCUGCCAUCUGCAAGAGAUCACUUGGUCCAUCCCCCUGCCAUCACACCUAGUGAGAAGACAAUCCCUUGGGAAGUCAUCUUCUUCAUUUUCAAACCAACUUUCAAGGCAUCAUUUCUGAUUUUCUUAGCCCUCAGUGGAAAUGCCCCAGGAUGAUAAUUGCCCAAUAGUAAAAUGGUAACUUCCAAAUUA